UUACUGCUAUCGGUGUUCGCCUAAGCCAUGCGAGUCAUAUGUUCUUCGUGAACAUGGCGUACUGCUCAGUAACACGUGGAUAACCUGCCCUUGGGUCCGGCAUAACCCCGGGAAACUGGGGAUAAUUCCGGAUAACGCACAUAUGCUGGAAUGCUUUAUGCGUAAAAUGGAUUCGUCUGCCCAAGGAUGGGUCUGCGGCCUAUCAGGUAGUAGUGGGUGUAAUGUACCUACUAGCCAACAACGGGUACGGGUUGUGAGAGCAAGAGCCCGGAGAUGGAUUCUGAGACAUGAAUCCAGGCCCUACGGGGCGCAGCAGGCGCGAAAACUUUACAAUGCGGGAAACCGUGAUAAGGGGACACCGAGUGCCAGCGUCAUACGCUGGCUGUCCAGGUGUGUAAAAUACACCUGUUAGCAAGGGCCGGGCAAGACCGGUGCCAGCCGCCGCGGUAACACCGGCGGCCCGAGUGGUGAUCGUGAUUAUUGGGUCUAAAGGGUCCGUAGCCGGUUUGGUCAGUCCUCCGGGAAAUCUGAUAGCUCAACUAUUAGGCUUUCGGGGGAUACUGCCAGACUUGGAACCGGGAGAGGUAAGAGGUACUACAGGGGUAGGAGUGAAAUCUUGUAAUCCCUGUGGGACCACCUGUGGCGAAGGCGUCUUACCAGAACGGGUUCGACGGUGAGGGACGAAAGCUGGGGGCACGAACCGGAUUAGAUACCCGGGUAGUCCCAGCCGUAAACGAUGCUCGCUAGGUGUCAGGCAUGGCGC
RNAcentral lists this ribosomal RNA (763 nucleotides) under uncultured methanogenic archaeon. RNAcentral describes it as "bacterial SSU rRNA". It matches the Rfam family "Archaeal small subunit ribosomal RNA", at positions 24 to 786 of the family's 1478-position model. The record is from RNAcentral. Lineage: Archaea; Methanobacteriati; Methanobacteriota.